RNAcentral lists this ribosomal RNA (421 nucleotides) under uncultured bacterium. Its description in RNAcentral is "partial 16S ribosomal RNA". It matches the Rfam family "Bacterial small subunit ribosomal RNA", at positions 360 to 773 of the family's 1533-position model. The record is from RNAcentral.
AAUAUUGGACAAUGGGGGCAACCCUGAUCCAGCCAUGCCGCGUGUGUGAAGAAGGUCUUCGGAUUUUAAAGCACGUUAAGUUGGGAGGAAGGGCUUUAGGCUAAUACCUUGAAGUUUUUACGUUACCAACAGAGUAAGCACCGGCUAACGCUGUGCCAGCAGCCGCGGUAAUACAGCGGGAGCAAGCGUUAAUCGGAAUUACUUGGCGUAAAGCGCGCGUAGGUGGUUCAGUAAGAUGGGUGUGAAAUACCCGGGCUUAACCGGGGAACUGCUUUCAUAACUGCUGAGCUAGAGUACGGUAGAGGGUAGUGGAAUUUCCUGUGUAGAGGUGAAAUGCGUAGAUAUAGGAAGGAACACCAGUGGCGAAGGCGACUACCUGGACUGAUACUGACACUGAGGUGCGAAAGCGUGGGGAGCAAAC